Molecule: ribosomal RNA, 754 nt
Filed under: uncultured bacterium
Lineage: Bacteria
Description: bacterial SSU rRNA
Rfam family: Bacterial small subunit ribosomal RNA
Source: RNAcentral
GUUUGUCGCGUUGUUCGUGAAAUCUCACGGCUUAACUGUGAGCGUGCGGGCGAUACGGGCAGACUUGAGUACUGCAGGGGAGACUGGAAUUCCUGGUGUAGCGGUGGAAUGCGCAGAUAUCAGGAGGAACACCGGUGGCGAAGGCGGGUCUCUGGGCAGUAACUGACGCUGAGGAGCGAAAGCGUGGGGAGCGAACAGGAUUAGAUACCCUGGUAGUCCACGCCGUAAACGGUGGGUACUAGGUGUGGGUUUCCUUCCUUGGGAUCCGUGCCGUAGCUAACGCAUUAAGUACCCCGCCUGGGGAGUACGGCCGCAAGGCUAAAACUCAAAGAAAUUGACGGGGGCCCGCACAAGCGGCGGAGCAUGUGGAUUAAUUCGAUGCAACGCGAAGAACCUUACCUGGGUUUGACAUGCACAGGACGCCGGCAGAGAUGUCGGUUCCCUUGUGGCCUGUGUGCAGGUGGUGCAUGGCUGUCGUCAGCUCGUGUCGUGAGAUGUUGGGUUAAGUCCCGCAACGAGCGCAACCCUUGUCUCAUGUUGCCAGCGGGUAAUGCCGGGGACUCGUGAGAGACUGCCGGGGUCAACUCGGAGGAAGGUGGGGAUGACGUCAAGUCAUCAUGCCCCUUAUGUCCAGGGCUUCACACAUGCUACAAUGGCCGGUACAAAGGGCUGCGAUGCCGCGAGGUUAAGCGAAUCCUUUUAAAGCCGGUCUCAGUUCGGAUCGGGGUCUGCAACUCGACCCCGUGAAGUCGGA